CAAUAGCGUAUAUUAACGUUGUUGCAGUUAAAAAGCUCGUAGUUGGAUUUCUGGAGGGAGCGUCGGCCCGUAUUUACGAGUGCGUGACGUCUCUGUCCAUCCUUGCGGGAAGGCACGGCAUUGAUUUGUUGUGUCGGAUCGCAUCAUUUACUGUGAAAAAAUUAGAGUGUUCAAAGCAGGCUUUCGCUUGAAUACAUUAGCAUGGAAUAAUAAGAUGGGACUUUGGUGCUAUUUUGUUGGUUGAGCCUAAAGUAAUGAUUAAUAGGGAUAGUUGGGGGCACCUGUAUUGCGUUGUCAGAGGUGAAAUUCUUGGAUUUACGCAAGACAAACAGCUGCGAAAGCGUCUGCCAAGGAUGUUUUCAUUA
Molecule: ribosomal RNA, 365 nt
Filed under: uncultured eukaryote
Lineage: Eukaryota
Description: partial 18S ribosomal RNA
Rfam family: Eukaryotic small subunit ribosomal RNA
Source: RNAcentral